ACACCUAUUCAUACAGCUGUACUGAAGGCGAACUCACCUGCAAAGGCGCGCAACUUCACAACCAGUAUUGAAAAGACACAGGGCUGCGUCUCGCAAUAGUGCAGCGUUUGUUUUGGUCAUGCCUCCCCCGAGGUUCACCAUUUCCUUCUUCCCUCCAGUGGACAACGAUGAGUGUAAAGCCUUUAUUUGUAAUUGUGACCGCACAGCAGCCAAGUACUUCGCCGGAGCCCCUUACAACAACGCGAACUGGAAUAUCGACACCGACACGUUGCCAAUGAUAUUUGAGAGGCUUCAGCGCAAGGACUGUGGCAGUUACUCACCUGCGCGUGGCAAUUCUCUGGAUGGGCCUCUAUUAUAUAUAUA
Non-coding RNA from Notechis scutatus (mainland tiger snake), 363 nucleotides. The record is from RefSeq and is a predicted model, not a curated record. NCBI's taxonomy places the organism in Eukaryota, Metazoa, Chordata, Lepidosauria, Squamata, Elapidae.